Molecule: ribosomal RNA, 309 nt
Filed under: uncultured Hyphomicrobiales bacterium
Lineage: Bacteria; Pseudomonadati; Pseudomonadota; Alphaproteobacteria; Hyphomicrobiales
Description: bacterial SSU rRNA
Rfam family: Bacterial small subunit ribosomal RNA
Source: RNAcentral
UGGCUCAGAACGAACGCUGGCGGCAGGCCUAACACAUGCAAGUCGAGCGCGUGUAGCAAUACACGAGCGGCAGACGGGAGAGUAACACGUGGGAACGUACCCUUCGGUUCGGAAUAACCCAGGGAAACUUGGACUAAUACCGGAUACGUCCGAAAGGAGAAAGAUUUAUCGCCGAAGGAUCGGCCCGCGGCUGAUUAGCUAGUUGGUGAGGUAACGGCUCACCAAGGCGACUGGCAAAAGCUGGUCUGAGAGGAUGAUCAGCCACACUGGGACUGUUUUCUUCCGCCCAGACGAAUACGGGAGGCAGCA